UUUCUUAGGGGAAGAAUUCUGACGGUACCUAAGGAAUAAGCACCGGGCUAACUCCGUGCCAGCAGCCGCGGUAAUACGGAGGGUGCAGCGUUACUCGGAAUCACUGGGCGUAAAGGGCGCGUAGGCGGAUUAUCAAGUCUCUUGUGAAAUCUAAUGGCUUAACCAUUAAACUGCUUGGGAAACUGAUAGUCUAGAGUGAGGGAGAGGCAGAUGGAAUUGGUGGUGUAGGGGUAAAAUCCGUAGAUAUCACCAAGAAUACCCAUUGCGAAGGCGAUCUGCUGGAACUCAACUGACGCUAAGGCGCGAAAGCGUGGGGAGCAAACAGGAUUAGAUACCCUGGUAGUCCACGCCCUAAACGAUGUACACUAGUUGUUGGGGUGCUAGUCAUCUCAGUAAUGCAGCUAACGCAUUAAGUGUACCGCCUGGGGAGUACGGUCGCAAGAUUAAAACUCAAAGGAAUAGACGGGGACCCGCACAAGCGGUGGAGCAUGUGGUUUAAUUCGAAGAUACGCGAAGAACCUUACCUGGGCUUGAUAUCCUAAGAACCUUUUAGAGAUAAGAGGGUGCUAGCUUGCUAGAACUUAGAGACAGGUGCUGCACGGCUGUCGUCAGCUCGUGUCGUGAGAUGUUGGGUUAAGUCCCGCAACGAGCGCAACCCACGUAUUUAGUUGCUAACGGUUCGGCCGAGCACUCUAAAUAGACUGCCUUCGUAAGGAGGAGGAAGGUGUGGACGACGUCAAGUCAUCAUGGCCCUUAUGCCCAGGGCGACACACGUGCUACAAUGGCAUAUACAAUGAGACGCAAUACCGCGAGGUGGAGCAAAUCUAUAAAAUAUGUCCCAGUUCGGAUUGUUCUCUGCAACUCGAGAGCAUGAAGCCGGAAUCGCUAGUAAUCGUAGAUCAGCCAUGCUACGGUGAAUACGUUCCCGGGUCUUGUACUCACCGCCCGUCACACCAUGGGAGUUGAUUUCACUCGAAGCC
Molecule: ribosomal RNA, 980 nt
Filed under: Campylobacter coli
Lineage: Bacteria; Pseudomonadati; Campylobacterota; Epsilonproteobacteria; Campylobacterales; Campylobacteraceae
Description: bacterial SSU rRNA
Rfam family: Bacterial small subunit ribosomal RNA
Source: RNAcentral